UUACCUGGUUUGUCCUGCCAGUAGUCAUAUGCUUGUCUCAAAGAUUAAGCCAUGCAUGUCUAAGUACAGGCCUACCCAAGGCGAAACCGCAAAUGGCUCAUUAAAUCAGUCAUGAUUCAUUGGAUGUCGAUGAAUCCUUUACUCGGAUAACCGUGGCAAUUCUAGAGCUAAUACGUGCAAUCGAGCUCCGACCCCGCCAUUCCAGGCGGGGGAAGGGCGCAUUUAUUAGAAUCAUAAACCGAGCGGACUUCGGUCCGUCUCAUACGAGGUUGUGAUGACUCUGAAUAACUUUGCCGAGCGUUGAGGCCUUAGUGCCGGCGCCGUAUCUUUCGAGUGUCUGCCUUAUCAGCUUUCGAUUGUAGGAUAUACGCCUACAAUGGCUGUAACGGGUAACGGGGAAUCAGGGUUCGAUUCCGGAGAGGGAGCCUGAGAAACGGCUACCACAUCUAAGGAAGGCAGCAGGCACGCAAAUUACCCACUCCCGGCUCGGGGAGGUAGUGACGAUAAAUAACGAUGCGGGACUCUUCCGAGGCCUCGCAAUCGGAAUGAGUUCACUCUAAAUACUUGGACGAGGAUCCAUUGGAGGGCAAGUCUGGUGCCAGCAGCCGCGGUAAUUCCAGCUCCAAUAGCGUAUAUUAAAGUUGYUGCGGUUAAAAAGCUCGUAGUUGGACUUUAAGAUACGUGCCGGCGGCCCAUCCAAGGCGCGCCCUCGCCGACUCGCUGGGGGGUUGGGGGAUGUUCGUACGCGAACGAGGUUUGGUUUUUCCUUUCCCGUCGCUGCGGCUCUCCUAUUUUCCCACCCCUUCUGCGGGGGCAUUUCCACUCCUCAUAAAAAAACCGAGUCUAUUCUCCUUUCCCUUCAAUUUAACCUCGCGGGUGCGAGCCUCUCCCGUAAAAAACGCCAUCCGUGCGUCGUACCGUAGUUAAAAAAAAAAAGUGUUCGGGAUUUCUUCGGUUAGCGUUUCCUCCUUAAAUAUACGCCUCUUUCCUUCCUUUUCUCCCUUGUCGAUCGCGGGUCACCGACGAUUAAACCUCGUCGCCCCCCUUCGGCAGUAAAAACGGGGUUUAAAGGAAGAAGGGGAAUAACGUUAUUUUUGGGUUCAUAGGAUUCCGUCCGUCCCCGUUUCUACUUUUUUUUCUACGCUCUUCGGCCCGGUGGCGGGGACGAGCGCGACCCACCCGUCUUGGGGAAGGGGUUCAUAAAGGUUUAUACGUCGCGGCGGGGAUUUGGAGUGUUUCCCAGUUGGGGGUCCCGCGGGCGGCGGGUAAGCGCGCCCGGUGGUUCACUGGCCGGUCACGAAUUUUUAAAAGCCGUCGGCUCUCACGGGGUGCUCUUUACCGAGUGUCCCGCGUGGCCGACACGUUCACUUUGAAAAAAUUAGAGUGCUCAAAGCAGGCAAAUUUUUUAGCCUGAAUGUCGAUGCAUGGAAUGAUGGAACAGGACCUCGGUUCUGCAUUUUUCUCUCGGUUUUCCGAACCCGAGGUAAUGAUUAACGGGAACGGACGGGGGCAUUAGUAUUGCGACGCUAGAGGUGAAAUUCUUGGACCGUCGCAAGACUAACUACUGCGAAAGCAUUUGCCAAGAACGCUUUCAUUAAUCAAGAACGAAAGUUAGAGGAUCGAAGGCGAUCAGAUACCGCCCUAGUUCUAACCUUAAACGAUGCCAACUGGCGAUCCGCUUAAGUCAUUCCCACGACUGAGCGGGGAGCCCCCGGGAAACCGAAGUCUUUGGGUUCCGGGGGAAGUAUGGUUGCAAAGCUGAAACUUAAAGGAAUUGACGGAAGGGCACCACCAGGAGUGGAGCCUGCGGCUUAAUUUGACUCAACACGGGGAACCUCACCAGGCCCAGACACCGGAAGGAUUGACAGAUUGAGAGCUCUUUCUCGAUUCGGUGGGUGGUGGUGCAUGGCCGUUCUUAGUUGGUGGAGCGAUCUGUCUGGUUGAUUCCGAUAACGAACGAGACUCUACCCUAUUAACUAGUCGGUGGAUCGUUUCCCGAGACUGGUUUCCCUUCCGGGGGGUUCGGGGGCGUAACUUCGGGCCUCCGGCCUCGGCGUCCUUCCUCUUAUAGCGGCGGGUGCGGCGUCGGUGUCGUGGCGGCUCCCUUCCAUUAAAAGGUUCUUUUCCUGCUACUCGCCUCCGGGAGGGUAUGUUGGGAGGGGAUCGGAACGGGUUGUUCGCGCGGCACACGGCGUUCGCCACCGUGCGCGUAGGGGGGUUAAAAGGGGGCGUCGUGCGUUGUACGAGGAAUCGCGUUCGCUUUCGUUAUACCCCUCGUGUAGGGCCCAGCUAGGGGCGUCCUCCGCAACUUCUUCUUAGAGGGAUCGGCGGCGUCCAGCCGCACGAGAGAGAGCAAUAACAGGUCUGUGAUGCCCUUAGAUGUUCUGGGCCGCACGCGCGCUACAAUGAAGGGAUCAGCGUGCUUUCCCCCUCCGAAAGGAGCGGGUAACCCGAUGAAACCCCUUCCCGAUUGGGAUUGGGGAUUGUAAGUGUUUCCCAUGAACGAGGAAUUCCCAGUAAGCGCAAGUCAUCAGCUUGCGAUGAUUAAGUCCCUGCCCUUUGUACACACCGCCCGUCGCUACUACCGAUUGAAUGAUUCAGUGAGGGCGUCGGACUAGCGCCCUCGGUAGCCCUCGGUUUUAGCGUUUUUUACCGUCGUCGUUCUUCGAUGACGGGCGCGGCCGAUCAGG
This 2690-nucleotide ribosomal RNA is filed under the name Cymodopsis sp. RW04.171. Its description in RNAcentral is "partial 18S ribosomal RNA". It matches the Rfam family "Eukaryotic small subunit ribosomal RNA". Lineage: Eukaryota; Metazoa; Arthropoda; Malacostraca; Isopoda; Sphaeromatidae. The record is from RNAcentral.